UACAGAGGUCCCAAGCGUUGUUCGGAUUCACUGGGCGUAAAGGGUGCGUAGGCGGUCGGGUAAGUCUGAUGUGAAAUCUCACAGCUUAACUGUGAAACUGCAUUGGAUACUAGUCGGCUUGAGAGUUGGAGGGGGGACUGGAAUUCCACGUGUAGCAGUGAAAUGCGUAGAGAUGUGGAGGAAUACCGAUGGCGAAGGCAGCCCCCUGGGAUAACACUGACGCUCAUGCACGAAAGCGUGGGGAGCAAACAGG
This 253-nucleotide ribosomal RNA is filed under the name uncultured bacterium. Its description in RNAcentral is "partial 16S ribosomal RNA". It matches the Rfam family "Bacterial small subunit ribosomal RNA", at positions 524 to 776 of the family's 1533-position model. The record is from RNAcentral.